Molecule: ribosomal RNA, 393 nt
Filed under: uncultured bacterium
Lineage: Bacteria
Description: bacterial SSU rRNA
Rfam family: Bacterial small subunit ribosomal RNA
Source: RNAcentral
UAAUACGGAGGAUCCAAGCGUUAUCCGGAUUUAUUGGGUUUAAAGGGUGCGUAGGCGGCCUGUUAAGUCAGGGGUGAAAGACGGUGGCUCAACCAUCGCAGUGCCCUUGAUACUGAUGGGCUUGAAUGGACUAGAGGUAGGCGGAAUGUGACAAGUAGCGGUGAAAUGCAUAGAUAUGUCACAGAACACCGAUUGCGAAGGCAGCUUACUAUGGUCCUAUUGACGCUGAGGCACGAAAGCGUGGGGAUCGAACAGGAUUAGAUACCCUGGUAGUCCACGCCCUAAACGAUGAACACUCGCUGUUGGCGAUACACGGUCAGCGGCUAAGCGAAAGCGUUAAGUGUUCCACCUGGGGAGUACGCCCGCAAGGGUGAAACUCAAAUGAAUUGACGG